RNAcentral lists this ribosomal RNA (253 nucleotides) under uncultured bacterium. RNAcentral's name for it is "partial 16S ribosomal RNA". It matches the Rfam family "Bacterial small subunit ribosomal RNA", at positions 524 to 776 of the family's 1533-position model. The record is from RNAcentral.
UACGUAGGUGGCAAGCGUUACUCGGAAUUACUAGGCGUAAAGCGCAGGUAGGUGGUGCAGUAAGUCCGUAAUGAAAUCUCCCGGCUUAACUGGGAGGGGUUUAGGGAUACUGCUGUGCUCGAGUGUGGGAGAGGUAACUGGAAUUCCUGGUGUAGCGGUGAAAUGCGUAGAGAUCAGGAGGAACACCUAUGGCGAAAGCAGGUUACUGGCCCAAUACUGACACUGAGCUGCGAAAGCUAGGGGAGCAAACAGG